GUGUGACAUCCCAAAAAUAUCAUAUUCACAUAUAAUAUAAUAGGAUUCAGCUAUUACAAUAUGUGAAAGCAGUUGAGAGAUAAAGAUGACAGUAUUUAAAUAUUUAUACAGUCAUCCGAAAUUUAGUGGAAAUUAAAACAAAAUAAAACUUGAGUACAAGUUCCCCAAAGUUCUCCAAAAUACAAAAUAAACUAAAGAUCGAAGGAUGCCUAGAGAAUGUUUCCAAAAAUUAACAAGCUAUUGAAAUAAGAACUAAUAAACGCCCUAAGUACUAGGGGCUGGAUCUUCCUCAGUCUCCCACGCCUGCUCCAAGGGUACCUCAUCACCUACUGCUCACAUCCAAAGGAUUAGAUGAUCAUCGCAAGGGGGAAGGCAAACACAUACAAACAUGCAAGUGCAAGGGUGAGCUAGGUCUCAAACAAUCAUACAAUUCAUUGCAAGAACGUUCAUACACACUUAAACAUAUAAGUCAUCAUAAACAUAAACAUUGAUUUCACAAAACUCACUAAAGCAAACAUCAUGUCAUGUUAAGACUCCUAGACACGUCUGGACAUAGAAUGUAUAUAGAGCUGGGGCGGGUUGUGCACUUGUGAUGGCCCUACUGCUUUGCAAAGCCAUUGCCGAGGGGUUCUACCCGACCAUACACAAGGCUAGUCCGUUACCGCAGUAUAGGCCUAUAGUGAAAGCGCCUACCCUAGGACCUCCCACUACUCUCACCACACGCGUCAAUCCUCUCUAAGUGAGAAUGAAAGACCGUUAGAGUGUUAGGGAUAACCCCCCAUAGUGGAAGCCUCUUACAUACAUUCAAUACACUAAUUGAUCCCACCGAGAGAUCUUAAUUUCGCAACCGAAUCCAACCAAUCCACUUACUUGAUAAUUUUCCAAGUCAUAUAAAUCAUACACACCUUAAUUUGCCACAAACAAUUAGAUAAACCAACCAACCACAAGCUCUAAGCAAUAAACCGAACACUAGUAGCAGUGGCCGAACCAUUGGGAUUGAAUUGGGUACCAUUAACAGGCACCCUGGCCAGACCGAACGGUUACGGGAUGGAACAAUCCUUCCCUGACCGAAAGUAUAUCUGAUCGAACAGUCAUGCGAAAGAACAACUUACCCUAACCAUAUUUGACCGAACGGUCAUGAGAAGGAAUAACCUUCUCUGACCCAGAGUAUCUAACCGAACGGUCAUGAGAAGGAAUCACCUUCCCUGACCCAGAACCUACCAAACCGGACGGUUUGAGAAAGAAACCUCAUUCUCUGACUAAGACCCACCAGACCGAACGGUUUAAGAAGGAAACCUCCUUCUCUAACCAAAACUCACCAGACCGAACGGUUGAGAAGGAAACUUCCUUCUCUAACGAAGAUUCACCAGACCGAACGGUUUGAGAAGGAAACCUCCUUCUCUAACCAAGACUCAGACCGGACGGUCAAGAGAAAGAAAUACCUUCUCUGACCGAAAGCACACCUGCCAGACCGAACGGUCAAGAGAAGAAAGGACCUUCUCACGCUGACUUGCAGUGCCAAACCGAACGGUCAAGAGAAGGGUGAACCUUCUCUGACCAGGGUUCCAUGACCGGACGGUUCGAGAAGGAAACCUCCUUCUCUCACCAAGGCUCCAUGACCGAACGGUCAAGAGAAGGGGGAACCUUCUCUGACCAAGACCUCCAAACCGGACGGUCAAGGGGAAGAGUCAUCCUUCCCUGACCAGGCCUACAAAACCGAACGGUCAGGAGAAGGGAGAACCUUCUCUGACCAAGGCCUUCCAAACCGGACGGCCAAACUCUGCAGAAUUAUGCAGAACUCGAUAGAACCAGCUAAGACCAUUUUCAACCAAUUUUGCCAACUUCUAACACUCCUGAUCUUUGUUUUAGACAUAAUUAAACUUACCUAAGUGAUUCUAAACAUUUCUAACACAUUUCUAAAGUGAUUUAAGCUUCAUUUCAACUCUAAAACACUCAUUUGCCCAACUGAGGGACCCAAAACCCAAUCUUACCAUUUUACACCCAUUUUGGCUAAUUUAGUGACUCAAACAAGUCACAAUACACUCAGUGAAACUGUCUCAACAGUCCACAAACACAACAAACCCCAUAUACUCAAAAUCACUACCUCACUUCCCUUAAAAUGGCCAAAAAGUGACUCUAAAGCACUAGGUUUUCUUCCAAACACUACCACAAUAGAUUUCAAUCAUCAUCACAGUCCCAAUCAUACAUAAUUCAACAUACCAAGGGGUUCCAAACAGUCCAAAAUCAUCAAUCAUCAAUUCUACAUAACAUACCCAUUUCCAUACAUGAAUUUCAAACCAAUUCAACCAAUUUCAUGCUUCCAACAACAUACAGCUUUAAAAUUUAUCAUACAUUCACAACAUACUAUAAAAAUGGAAAGAAAGCUAGCUCCCCUUACCUCUAGGAUGCACGGCCAACUCAAGGAAUGAUCAUAGACCAAGUACUUUGAACCCAAAGUGUGAGAAUCACCUAAAAUCAUCAAUUGAUGAUGGAGAACGAAUUUUAGCAUUAGGUUGAAGUUAGAUUGUGGAAGGAAACGAAAUGGGUUGCAUGAAAUAAGAAUCUCAUGCUUGAAACCCUAGGGCAAAGAAGGAAAGAGGGCUUUCUUACCGGUUGGAUGAAACGGAAAAUCGAUCGGUAGAAACUUAGCUCUUGGAGUCCUGAAUGUUUAGGUAGCUUCAAUUUGAGAAACUAACGGUUAGAAUCUGAGUUGAGAUGGAAGGAGUGGCACGGCAAAGAAGGAGAGAAACGUAGAAGGAGAUGCUUGUUGUCUUAGAAAA
RNAcentral lists this long non-coding RNA (2780 nucleotides) under Vigna radiata. RNAcentral's name for it is "long non-coding RNA (VRAD_LNC003171)". Lineage: Eukaryota; Viridiplantae; Streptophyta; Magnoliopsida; Fabales; Fabaceae. The record is from RNAcentral.